Molecule: long non-coding RNA, 4114 nt
Filed under: Mytilus galloprovincialis (Mediterranean mussel)
Lineage: Eukaryota; Metazoa; Mollusca; Bivalvia; Mytilida; Mytilidae
Source: RNAcentral
CACGAAAUGAAUGCGGCAUACGGAGACUCAAUGCCAAUGGUCAGCCCCUUAAGUCUUCAGAAGACUUGACGUCUUCUUCCACUAAAAAUCAAUACAUUACUGUUUCUAGUAAUUUUCAGCAGUUUUAUGAAAGAUGAAAAUGACUAGAAUAUGAUCAAACUAAGUAGUAAUUAGGUAUGAUGUAUCCCAUGUUCUGUAAAUAGAUUUAAGACUUUUCAAACAUUUUCAUGUCAUAUAUCAUACUACAUCAUACUUAACAAAAAAAAAAAAAACAACAAAAAAACACAGAUGCAUCUUGUUCUAUUUCUUCAGCAUAUUCAUAUCAGAACCAGAAACAAAAUGGUGGUCAAAUAUCUUCAAUGUAAGGUGUCCUGUUGAACCCUGUUUCUGGCAUGUGAUUGCUGCUGUCUGUGUAAAAGUGAGUCCAUUAAGUGAAAGUGAGUCAUUAAUGUACAUAAUUUUUGACAUAUGAUAUGUUCAUGAAGAGAAAAUCUUUAAAUAAAUUUAUGGUGACUUGAGUAACACCGGUAUCACUCAGAUUACAAUUCUACCUUGACAGGUAAGUUUGUAUUUAGACUAUAAAAUACUUAUUUAGCCUUGAGAAUUGAAAGGUCAGUUUAUCCCAUUCAUACAAUAGAAGUUUACCUUUAAGGGUCUGAACGGGGUUUACAGAAUAGAGAAUACAUGUAAUGGCAAUAAAAAAUAGAAAAUAGAGAAAAUGAACAACAAAAUAAAGAAUAGAGAAUAAUGCGGUGCAAAAGUAUAAAGAAUAACUGAGCAAAAUAAAAAGGUAACUUAGGUAACUGUAAUGCAAUACUGAUGAAAUAAUUAAUGUACAGAAUUGAUAAAUAAUGUUGUAACAGAAAGACUAAAUAGUAAAAUCAUUUUCAUAUGAAAUUUACAGAAUGAGAGUUAUUUUUAAGGCUAUUAAAAGAAAAUGUCCUAAAAAUUUAAAGAAUACAGAUAUUAAAAAAACCCAUGCAGGUCCUCAUGUCAUUUACAUUGUCAAAAUAUAGGACACAUCUAGUCAAACUGGUUUUAAACUAGACAUCCAAUCAAACUGGUUUGGUAUAACUGACUGUUUCUUGCCCUAGAUGUCUAUUUCACAGUGAACUUAUGUGUUUCUGCUAAGAGUACAUUGCACUGUCAUAUUUAUUGAUUUUCUGUUGGGACAUGACCUACAUUGUUAACAUGCAAAACAGUGGCUUGAGAUUUCAACUGAUAUUAGUAUAAUAAAUUAAUAUUUGGAAUGUUAUAUCCUGGUUGAUGUUUUUUUGGGGACCAAGAUGUUUUCUUCAUUCUUGUUCACAUUAUGAUUAUUUUAACCUUCAACAUUGUUCAAUGCACAUUUAAAGAUAGAAAAAAUUUCAGCACUCAUUUAAAAUAUUUUGCAACUUAAUAAUAAUCUGUCAGAUUUGGUGUAAACACAAAACAAGACAGUGUAAUAUAUAACCUGCAAGCAUUGUCUAUUUCUAUAACAGUCAAGCAGAUAUUUUUUUUAUAUCUGAAAAAAAAAAACUACCAUGUAAAGAAAUAUGCAAUUAAAAGGCCGAAAUAAUCCUAAAAUUCAACAUUAACAGAUUUUUAAUAAUUAAAUCAAGAUGCACAAAGUUUUAAGUAUUGGUCAGAAUAUAGGGUUCUUUUGUACUUUAACAAUAUCACAAUAACAAUAAAGUGACCUUAAUUUUGGACAAGGUAAAUGGCAUGAAGCCAAAUUUAUCAACUUCUAUUGUAUGAAUGGGAUAAACUGACCUUUCAAUUCUCAAGGCUAAAUAAGUAUUUUAUAGGCUAAAUACAAACUAACCUGUCAAGGUAGAAUUGUAAUCUGAGUGAUACCGGUGUAACCCAAGUCACCAUAAAAACCCGAGAUUUAUCAUUAGUGGCUCAAAAUUCCCCUUUAACUAACCUCAUUACAACCUAUAAGAAAGUGUUGCUGACGCUGUUGCUAAAAACAGCAUGCCUAAGUCACCUUUAAAUGACUCAAUAACAAGUUAGACUUCUGAAAAAUAUUAAACAUUAGUCUUUCUUUUACUACAUUCCAUGUUGGGCAAAUAAUAACUUGUGAAAAUCUUCAAAGAUUAUUACUAGAUUAAAUGGUUUUCUUUAUGCUAACUAGAAUCACAAUAUUUGCUAUAAAAUUGCAUAACAUAUUCAUCAAUUUUUUUUAAACAAUCUUAUAGUUCAAAGACCUACACAGCGCAUAAAAAAUCAAAGUCUUUUUAAACAAACAUUUGAUCCAAAGACCUACACAGGGCAAACAUUAAACAAGCUUUCAUCACUCUCAAGUUAACUAACAUAAAUAUUUCUUGUUCCACAAGCAUGACAAGUACACAAAUGUAUUAUAAAUUAUUAUGCCUAAAAUACUUAUCACAGCAACAUGCACAAAUACACCAACCAUAGACUUAACAUUUUAAUGAUAUCCUCUUGAACAAUAUUGUUAAUUACAAGUCUUUCAAAAAUAGCCUAUUUGCCAAUUACUGAUUUAAUUCUCUCAUAAUAACACACUUUUGACACAAGUUGUAGACAGGUUGUAAUCAGACAAAAUGAAAUGCUAAUCAUAUAUAAAGCAUUACAAGUUGAAAGUGGCAUACAGGCUAUGUAACCAAUUCAUGCAAUUUUGAAUAACAAAUGUUUAAUAAGAAGUUUUUACCUUAGCAAAAGAUUAAAAAGGAUUACAUACAUUAUGCACUGUUUAAUUUCCUGUUCACAUGAUCAUGAGCUUUUCAUUUACAUUGAAAACUAUUUCCCUCUUGAUUGAAACAAAUUGUUCAAAAUAGAUCUCAAAUUACAGGGUUAAAAACACUUGGCAAAUAGAGCCUUGGUGGAUGGGAGGUCUAAGUUGUCGAACUACUGUAUCACAAGCCUGUCAACACUGAGGUUGUGAGUUCAAAUCCCCCAUGGGGCAGAGGUGCACUUGACACCAAUCUUAAUUGACAAGGGUCGUCAUUUACCCUAUAGAAGGUCAUUGGUUCUCUCCAUGCACUCCUCCAUCAAUAAAAUCUGAGUGCCAAAAAUAAGCACCAUAUUGUUGAAAGUGGCAAUAAAUGUCAAUCAAGCAAUCAAUCAAACAAUUGGCAAAUAAGCUAUUUACAUGUGAUCACAUUAAUAAUUCAAAACAUAUAAAAAUGUAACAAACAAGUCCAACAUAGAUGUAUAUGCCGACAUAGAUGUAUAUGCAAGCAUAGAUGUAUAUGCCAGUAUAGAUGUAUAUGCCAAAAUAGAUGUAUAUGCCAGCAUAGAUGUAUAUGCCAGCAUAGAUGUAUAUGCCAGCAUAGAUGUAUAUGCCAGCAUAGAUGUAUAUGCCAUUAUAGCUGUAUAUGCCAGCAUAGAUGUAUAUGCUAGCAUUAAUUAUUCAAAACAUACAAAGGUAACAAUCAUUUCAAGCAUUUAUGUAGAUACCAAAAUUGAUGUAUAUGCCAGCAUAGAUGUAUAUGCCAAAAUAGAAGUAUAUGCCAGCAUAGAUGUAUAUUGUAGUACAGCAAAUAUAAAACAACAGUAAAAAUGCAAAUGUACUGUUGAUGGGGGUCAACAUUGGUGAAAAAGACAGCACAAUCCUGUGAACAGGGCAUGGUUUCUUAUUCCUGCUCAUUGUAUUAUAUUUUACAAUAUAGUAGAAAUGGAUUGAGAAAAAGUAAAAAAAAACACUUUCAUAUAUAUCACAACAAAGCAAUAUGUAUAGCAAAUUAAUAAUUAAACAUAGUAAAGUGUGUUUUAUGCACCAGUGCAUAAAAAUUAAAAAAAAAAGCAUUUCUUUUGUCAAAACAAUAUUUCCUGGUGCAGAACUUGCGCCCAGGGACUUUCAUAACUAUCAAUGCUGUAUAAAAAUGCCCUAUUAUUUCAGUUCCUUAAUUUAAAGCUGGAAUCACAUAUACAAAAUGAUCUAUAUGGCAAUUAAUUUGACAUCAUAUUUCCUAAAAUUUUGGUUUAAUAAUGCUCCUUCAAUUACAAUAUAUUACACAAAAUUAAACAUGCAUAUUUCAUUGGGGAAAAACUUAAAAGCUGUACUGGUAAAAAUUCUGAAAUGAGUACAUGCAUGUCAAUAUAUAGAACAUUGACUUACUACACUUCUAAUAAAUUAAUCAUGCCCUCUAAAUUUCAAUUAUUUAUACAUUAG